This is a long non-coding RNA of Oncorhynchus tshawytscha (Chinook salmon), 382 nucleotides long. The record is from Ensembl. NCBI's taxonomy places the organism in Eukaryota, Metazoa, Chordata, Actinopteri, Salmoniformes, Salmonidae.
CACCCAAGCGGCUGUGGAAGGGUCACGUAACGGCAUGGUUUAGCAGGGGGGAAUGUGAGGGAUGGAGUGGGCACCAUAGAAGAAAAGCAAAAAAGGGAGGAAAGAAAAAGAGGUAGAGGCACAGCAACGUACAAUAGAGGUGGGAUACCAUGCUGCUUGUCAAAGCUGCAUUUGAAGAAAGUUACUGCAUAUUUAUCCAACAUGUACAGUAUGGACCAAGGAUUCCCCGGGUUGAGUGAGGUAGACCGUGGACCGACUGAGCCAGCAGUGAUAUUGUUAUAUUUACAUAAAGUGAGAUGUGGAUGACAUUGUAAAACAAAAAAUCACAAAAUAGGUCCAUGUUUUGUUUAUCCUUCAAUGCCUGUUCUGAUAAUACUUACAC